Molecule: transfer RNA, 87 nt
Filed under: Candidatus Dormiibacterota bacterium
Lineage: Bacteria; Bacillati; Candidatus Dormiibacterota
Description: tRNA-Thr
Rfam family: tRNA (bases 15-84)
About the family: Transfer RNA (tRNA) molecules are approximately 80 nucleotides in length. Their secondary structure includes four short double-helical elements and three loops (D, anti-codon, and T loops).
Source: RNAcentral
GCCUGGGAACGUCGGCCAGAAUCGGGGCUCUUUCCCUGCUGUUUCGUAAACAGCAGGUCCUCGGUUCAAAUCCGAGUGUCGGCUCCA